GACGAACGCUGGCGGCGUGCUUAACACAUGCAAGUCGAACGGAAAGGCCCUGCUUUUGUGGGGUGCUCGAGUGGCGAACGGGUGAGUAACACGUGAGUAACCUGCCCUUGACUUUGGGAUAACUUCAGGAAACUGGGGCUAAUACCGGAUAGGAGCUCCUGCUGCAUGGUGGGGGUUGGAAAGUUUCGGCGGUUGGGGAUGGACUCGCGGCUUAUCAGCUUGUUGGUGGGGUAGUGGCUUACCAAGGCUUUGACGGGUAGCCGGCCUGAGAGGGUGACCGGCCACAUUGGGACUGGGAUACGGCCCAGACUCCUACGGGAGGCAGCAGUGGGGAAUAUUGCACAAUGGGCGGAAGCCUGAUGCAGCAACGCCGCGUGCGGGAUGACGGCCUUCGGGUUGUAAACCGCUUUCGCCUGUGACGAAGCGUGAGUGACGGUAAUGGGUAAAGAAGCACCGGCUAACUACGUGCCAGCAGCCGCGGUGAUACGUAGGGUGCGAGCGUUGUCCGGAUUUAUUGGGCGUAAAGGGCUCGUAGGUGGUUGAUCGCGUCGGAAGUGUAAUCUUGGGGCUUAACCCUGAGCGUGCUUUCGAUACGGGUUGACUUGAGGAAGGUAGGGGAGAAUGGAAUUCCUGGUGGAGCGGUGGAAUGCGCAGAUAUCAGGAGGAACACCAGUGGCGAAGGCGGUUCUCUGGGCCUUUCCUGACGCUGAGGAGCGAAAGCGUGGGGAGCGAACAGGCUUAGAUACCCUGGUAGUCCACGCUGUAAACGGUGGGUACUAGGUGUGGGGUCCAUUCCACGGGUUCCGUGCCGUAGCUAACGCUUUAAGUACCCCGCCUGGGGAGUACGGCCGCAAGGCUAAAACUCAAAGGAAUUGACGGGGCCCCGCACAAGCGGCGGAGCAUGCGGAUUAAUUCGAUGCAACGCGUAGAACCUUACCUGGGUUUGACAUGGAUCGGGAGUGCUCAGAGAUGGGUGUGCCUCUUUUGGGGUCGGUUCACAGGUGGUGCAUGGCUGUCGUCAGCUCGUGUCGUGAGAUGUUGGGUUAAGUCCCGCAACGAGCGCAACCCUUGUUCACUGUUGCCAGCACGUUAUGGUGGGGACUCAGUGGAGACCGCCGGGGUCAACUCGGAGGAAGGUGGGGAUGACGUCAAGUCAUCAUGCCCCUUAUGUCCAGGGCUUCACGCAUGCUACAAUGGCUGGUACAGAGAGUGGCGAGCCUGUGAGGGUGAGCGAAUCUCGGAAAGCCGGUCUCAGUUCGGAUUGGGGUCUGCAACUCGACCUCAUGAAGUCGGAGUUGCUAGUAAUCGCAGAUCAGCAACGCUGCGGUGAAUACGUUCCCGGG
Molecule: ribosomal RNA, 1343 nt
Filed under: uncultured bacterium
Lineage: Bacteria
Description: 16S ribosomal RNA
Rfam family: Bacterial small subunit ribosomal RNA
Source: RNAcentral